AGCGAACGCUGGCGGCAGGCCUAACACAUGCAAGUCGAACGAACUCUUCGGAGUUAGUGGCGGACGGGUGAGUAACACGUGGGAACGUGCCUUUAGGUUCGGAAUAACUCAGGGAAACUUGUGCUAAUACCGAAUGUGCCCUUCGGGGGAAAGAUUUAUCGCCUUUAGAGCGGCCCGCGUCUGAUUAGCUAGUUGGUGAGGUAAAGGCUCACCAAGGCGACGAUCAGUAGCUGGUCUGAGAGGAUGAUCAGCCACAUUGGGACUGAGACACGGCCCAAACUCCUACGGGAGGCAGCAGUGGGGAAUCUUGCGCAAUGGGCGAAAGCCUGACGCAGCCAUGCCGCGUGAAUGAUGAAGGUCUUAGGAUUGUAAAAUUCUUUCACCGGGGACGAUAAUGACGGUACCCGGAGGGGAAGCCCCGGCUAACUUCGUGCCAGCCGCCGCGGUAA
Molecule: ribosomal RNA, 449 nt
Filed under: uncultured bacterium
Lineage: Bacteria
Description: partial 16S ribosomal RNA
Rfam family: Bacterial small subunit ribosomal RNA
Source: RNAcentral